Molecule: transfer RNA, 72 nt
Filed under: Camelus bactrianus (Bactrian camel)
Lineage: Eukaryota; Metazoa; Chordata; Mammalia; Artiodactyla; Camelidae
Also listed under: 2 other names
Rfam family: tRNA
About the family: Transfer RNA (tRNA) molecules are approximately 80 nucleotides in length.
Source: Rfam by way of RNAcentral
GCGGGUAUAGCUCAGUGGAAGAGUGUGUGCUUAGCAUGCACGAGGUCCUAGGUUCAAUCCCCAGUACCUUCA